CCCUUAGAUGUCCUGGGCUGCACGCGCGCUACACUGGAAGUUACGGAUUGAGAUACUACCUUGUCCGAAAUGGUCCGGGUAAUCACCUAAAAGCUUGUCAUAAUUGGAAUGGAUUAUUGUAACUAGUAAUCCUGAACGAGGAAUUCCUAGUAAGUCCCAGUCAACAGCUGGUACUGAUUACGUCCCUGCCCUUUGUACACACCGCCCGUCGCUACUACUGAUUGGACGUUUAAGCAAGAUUUUUAAACACUGACAGUGUGUAGUUCACGCUAUACUACAGUGAGAAGAAGAAGAUCGAGCUUACUUGUCUAGAGGAAGUAAAAGGCGGAACA
Molecule: ribosomal RNA, 332 nt
Filed under: uncultured eukaryote
Lineage: Eukaryota
Description: partial 18S ribosomal RNA
Rfam family: Eukaryotic small subunit ribosomal RNA
Source: RNAcentral